GGGGGUAUUCUGGUUUUGAUUGCUGAUGGAAGGCAAGGGAUCGUGAAGGCAGUCAUGCCUUGAAAUGACAGGACAAAUAAACGCUAAGGUUGUCAAUAUGGCUUCCCGCGCUCGGAUGCUCGCAGCAGCAUGAGGCGCCUCGCUGGUGACCGGCGAAGGAACAUAACGGUCACGACUCGGAUUUCCGGCUUAGAUGAAAGCCUGUGGUGGAAUGCUCGUCCAGCUAUCCUGGUCAGCCCCGACUCACGUAAUGAAGUUCCUAUAACAAGUCAGCAAGACGAGGGUCCGACUCCCUCUACCUCCACAC
This 307-nucleotide transfer-messenger RNA is filed under the name Prevotella sp. It matches the Rfam family "transfer-messenger RNA". Rfam says of the family: Bacterial tmRNA, also known as 10Sa RNA or SsrA, is named for its dual tRNA and mRNA-like properties. Its role is to liberate the mRNA from a stalled ribosome. Lineage: Bacteria; Pseudomonadati; Bacteroidota; Bacteroidia; Bacteroidales; Prevotellaceae. The record is from RNAcentral.